Molecule: ribosomal RNA, 429 nt
Filed under: Chloroflexota bacterium
Lineage: Bacteria; Bacillati; Chloroflexota
Description: Chloroflexi bacterium partial 16S ribosomal RNA
Rfam family: Bacterial small subunit ribosomal RNA
Source: RNAcentral
UGGGGAAUAUCGCACAAUGGGCGCAAGCCUGAUGCAGCCAUGCCGCGUGUAUGAAGAAGGCCUUCGGGUUGUAAAGUACUUUCAGCGGGGAGGAAGGGAGUAAAGUUAAUACCUUUGCUCAUUGACGUUACCCGCAGAAGAAGCACCGGCUAACUCCGUGCCAGCAGCCGCGGUAAUACGGAGGGUGCAAGCGUUAAUCGGAAUUACUGGGCGUAAAGCGCACGCAGGGGGUCUGUCAAGUCGGAUGUGAAAUCCCCGGGCUCAACCUGGGAACUGCAUUCGAAACUGGCAGGCUAGAGUCUUGUAGAGGGGGGUAGAAUUCCAGGUGUAGCGGUGAAAUGCGUAGAGAUCUGGAGGAAUACCGGUGGCGAAGGCGGCCCCCUGGACAAAGACUGACGCUCAGGUGCGAAAGCGUGGGGAGCAAACAGG